UUUUGUUUUCUGAAAGCUGAAGUCUAGAAGAAUUUGAAGAAAUGAUGGAAGAGUUUAAAAAAAAAAGAAUGAUGCUUGAAAGGUAUGGAACUUUCUGAGCCCAAAGAUACUUUCAAGUGGUUUAAAGAUAACAUACAGAUUAUUACAUUAGAAACACAAAGUUAUUCAAGAAAAUGUUCACCAAAAAUAUUUUUUUCUGUUUUUACAUAUUCGUAAGACAUUUAAUUCCAAGAAGGAGAUUUAAUGUCUACCACUAGAGCGAAUGAAACAGUGAAGACAGAUUUCUACUUAAUCCCCCU
Molecule: long non-coding RNA, 299 nt
Filed under: Homo sapiens (human)
Lineage: Eukaryota; Metazoa; Chordata; Mammalia; Primates; Hominidae
Description: HSALNT0057106
Source: RNAcentral